AGUGAACGCUGGCGGUAGGCCUAACACAUGCAAGUCGAACGGCAGCACAGUAAGAGCUUGCUCUUACGGGUGGCGAGUGGCGGACGGGUGAGGAAUACAUCGGAAUCUACUUUUUCGUGGGGGAUAACGUAGGGAAACUUACGCUAAUACCGCAUACGACCUACGGGUGAAAGCAGGGGAUCUUCGGACCUUGCGCGAUUGAAUGAGCCGAUGUCGGAUUAGCUAGUUGGCGGGGUAAAGGCCCACCAAGGCGACGAUCCGUAGCUGGUCUGAGAGGAUGAUCAGCCACACUGGAACUGAGACACGGUCCAGACUCCUACGGGAGGCAGCAGUGGGGAAUAUUGGACAAUGGGCGCAAGCCUGAUCCAGCCAUACCGCGUGGAUGAAGAAGGCCUUCGGGCUGUAAAGCCCUUUUGUUGGGAAAGAAAAGCAGCAGGUUAAUACCCCGCUGUUCUGACGGUACCCAAAGAAUAAGCACCGGCUAACUUCGUG
RNAcentral lists this ribosomal RNA (492 nucleotides) under uncultured bacterium. Its description in RNAcentral is "partial 16S ribosomal RNA". It matches the Rfam family "Bacterial small subunit ribosomal RNA", at positions 29 to 507 of the family's 1533-position model. The record is from RNAcentral.